RNAcentral lists this non-coding RNA (105 nucleotides) under actinobacterium acAMD-5. RNAcentral's name for it is "Actinobacterium acAMD-5 SAM-IV sequence". It matches the Rfam family "SAM (S-adenosyl methionine) riboswitch aptamer". Rfam says of the family: SAM-IV is a mRNA element that regulates gene expression via direct sensing of S-adenosylmethionine (SAM or AdoMet). The record is from RNAcentral. Lineage: Bacteria; Bacillati; Actinomycetota; Actinomycetes.
GGUUCAGAGUGCUGGCGCCAAGUCCCGACUAGCCAGACGACAACCCUCCACCGCGGUGGGGUGCCCUCGGGAAAGACCGGGCCAACACCAUGGCAAGCGCGGGUU